RNAcentral lists this ribosomal RNA (142 nucleotides) under uncultured bacterium. RNAcentral's name for it is "partial 16S rRNA". It matches the Rfam family "Bacterial small subunit ribosomal RNA", at positions 354 to 511 of the family's 1533-position model. The record is from RNAcentral.
GUGGGGAAUUUUCCGCAAUGGGCGAAAGCCUGACGGAGCAAUGCCGCGUGGAGGUGGAAGGCCUACGGGUCGUCAACUUCUUUUCUCGGAGAAGAAACAAUGACGGUAUCUGAGGAAUAAGCAUCGGCUAACUCUGUGCCAG